Molecule: ribosomal RNA, 450 nt
Filed under: uncultured bacterium
Lineage: Bacteria
Description: bacterial SSU rRNA
Rfam family: Bacterial small subunit ribosomal RNA
Source: RNAcentral
GUGGGGAAUAUUGGACAAUGGGCGAAAGCCUGAUCCAGCCAUGCCGCGUGUGUGAAGAAGGUCUUCGGAUUGUAAAGCACUUUAAGUUGGGAGGAAGGGCAGUAAGUUAAUACCUUGCUGUUUUGACGUUACCGACAGAAUAAGCACCGGCUAACUUCGUGCCAGCAGCCGCGGUAAUACGAAGGGUGCAAGCGUUAAUCGGAAUUACUGGGCGUAAAGCGCGCGUAGGUGGUUUUGUAAGUUGGAGGUGAAAUCCCCGGGCUCAACCUGGGAACUGGCUCCAAAACUGCAUGACUAGAGUACGGUAGAGGGUAGUGGAAUUUCCUGUGUAGCGGUGAAAUGCGUAGAUAUAGGAAGGAACACCAGUGGCGAAGGCGACUACCUGGACUGAUACUGACACUGAGGUGCGAAAGCGUGGGGAGCAAACAGGAUUAGAAACCCUUGUAGUCC